This 314-nucleotide long non-coding RNA is filed under the name Gallus gallus (chicken). Lineage: Eukaryota; Metazoa; Chordata; Aves; Galliformes; Phasianidae. The record is from RNAcentral.
GAGGUAGCGCUGCGAGGAAUGUCCUUCACAAACAUGUCCCACAGUCCUUCAUCUGAGGGCCGUGCCUCUAUAAUGUACCCGGUUGUGGGUUUUUCUCCAGAAUCUCCCUCGGUCCAUUGUACUGUCAGCCCAGAAGCAGAUUUUGUCACUAGAAUUUCCUGAGGGGAGCCAGGAGACCCUUCUGCUGGCCCAGCUGUGACGUUGGCUUGCAGUUCAGGUCCAUAGGCAAUGGUUCGGGCUUGCACUCUGAAUAAAUAGGUCAUGCCCUUGGUAAGAUCUCGGACCUUUAGCCAGCGUUGCCAGUUCCCUUUAAU